UAAGGAAUAUUGGUCAAUGGAGGCAACUCUGAACCAGCCAUGCCGCGUGCAGGAAGACAGCCCUCUGGGUCGUAAACUGCUUUUAUUCGGGAAUAAACCCAUCUACGUGUAGAUGGCUGAAUGUACCGAAGGAAUAAGGAUCGGCUAACUCCGUGCCAGCAGCCGCGGUAAUACGGAGGAUCCAAGCGUUAUCCGGAUUUAUUGGGUUUAAAGGGUGCGUAGGCGGCUUAUUAAGUCAGGGGUGAAAGACGGUGGCUCAACCAUCGCAGUGCCUUUGAUACUGAUGAGCUUGAAUAUACUAGAGGUAGGCGGAAUGUGACAAGUAGCGGUGAAAUGCAUAGAUAUGUCACAGAACACCGAUUGCGAAGGCAGCUUACUAUGGUAUUAUUGACGCUGAGGCACGAAAGCGUGGGGAUCAAACAGG
This 424-nucleotide ribosomal RNA is filed under the name Acidobacteriota bacterium. RNAcentral's name for it is "Acidobacteria bacterium partial 16S ribosomal RNA". It matches the Rfam family "Bacterial small subunit ribosomal RNA", at positions 355 to 776 of the family's 1533-position model. Lineage: Bacteria; Pseudomonadati; Acidobacteriota. The record is from RNAcentral.